RNAcentral lists this long non-coding RNA (5727 nucleotides) under Sus scrofa (pig). Its description in RNAcentral is "lncRNA (ENSSSCG00015054373.1)". Lineage: Eukaryota; Metazoa; Chordata; Mammalia; Artiodactyla; Suidae. The record is from RNAcentral.
GUCUUUUUAGGGCCCCACCCACAGCAUAUGGAGGUUCCCAGGCUAGGGUCGAAUCUGGGCUGUAGCUGCCAGCCUACACCACAGCCACAGCAACUCAGGAUCUGAGCUGAGUCUGCAACCUAUACCAUAGCUCAGAGCAACUCCGGAUCCCCAACCCACUGAGCAAGGCCAGGGACAGAACCUACAUCCUCAAGGAUAGUAGUUGGGUUCAUUAACCACGGAGCCGCAAAGGGAACUCCAAUACUGCAUUAUUUUUCAUUUUCAUUUUGAAAUAAUUGCAACUGCAAAAUAUAAGACUUGUCAUACACCUUUUACCUAGAUUUUCCACAGUUCCUGAAUAUUAACAUUUACCUAUAUUUGCUUUAUCAUUCUCUAUCUUUCUCUCCCUCUAUAGAUAGAUGGGUACAUACACACAUACACACAUACAACAAAAUACAUAGAUAAAACAAAGUUGAUAUUCAUCUGUAUUUUCCUUAUUAAAUGUUUUCUUUUUCCUGAAACAUUUGAGAGUGGUUGCAGACCUGAUGUACCCCUUGAUCCCUAAAUAUUUCAGUCUGUUUCCUAAAAGCUGGGAUGGUAUAAGAUUAUAAAAACUCAAGAUGUUAAGAUUGAUUUUAUAUUGUUAUCUAUUAUAGAGAUCUUAUUUAAACUUUGUCAACUGUCUCUCUACUGUCUUUUAUAGUAAAAUAAAUACAUGAAUUUUUCUGGUUCAGAAAAAAAAAGUACCAAGAAACAGGUAAAAUUCAUUUUCGUAGUCCUUUCAUGAACACAGUCUAUCGACGCUUUAAUCACUUUGGCCAGUCCUCAGUAUAAAAUUAUUAGGCAAUUUUGGUCUUUUGUACUAAACCUUUGAAAUUUCUAUAUGUUUUACACUUCCGGCACAUCUCAGUUCAGACCAGCAUGUCAAGUGCCCGAUGGCCACAGGUGCUUAGAGGCUGCCAUACUAUGCAGCCCAGGCAUUGCUUAUUCCAGAUGUUGGGAUAUCAAAAUGGGUGAAGUGUGGCCCUGGCCACUGAGGAGCCAAGGACAGGGACAGAGACAAUUCCAACCAAGCAUAAGAAAAUAAGAAGAGGGAGAAUGAGGUGCCCUUGGGCACAGGUGAGAGGCACGAAUGCAGCCUACCCAGGGGCCUCCGGAAAGAUCCUGGAUCAAGCACAGUCAGAGAUCAGAGAGGCUGGGAAACAAUGGCUGAGGAUAGGCCAGGGCAUGUGGCAGAGAAGAGGUUGGCUCCUGCUUUGGGGGUGGUGGGGAGACUCACACCAGGCAGCAAGGCAUCCAGAAUCCGAGGGGAGAGAGUGGCAGCAGGUGGCUAUGAUAUGGACCACAAAGGGGAACGGUAAGGCCAUAGCUUGAAAGAGCAGCAACAAUAGCCAUAAUUGUGAUCAUUAGGCCAUGCCUAUGGGCCUGGCUGAGAAAAGAUUUUCUGUCUUGAUUGCAGGAGGGGGAAGUGAGCAUGCGCGUUGGAAGGGGAGGAGUCCAGCCUUGCAGGAAAACGUGGGACUGCAGGAGAGAGAGAAGCUGAUGAGGACCUAGGACAGAAGAGUCCAAAGGGAGAAGGUCAAGGGCCCCUUGCGGAAGUGGGUAUCAGGCCCUGAGGCUGGGGAGACACUUGUUCCCUUGAAGCAAGAGGGAAAAGGGAGGGCAGGAAAGGAGAGACCCAAUCAGGUCACUCCCCUGCCCCAGCCUCUCCCACUUCCUCGAUGACAAGGGAAUAAACCCAAACUCCUGAAUAUGGCAGCACAACGGGCCGUGACCUGCCCAUCGCCCAGCCCUCCUUUCCACAUUCCAUCCCUCCAAGCUUCAUUCCACCAGCACAUGAGCCACUUGAGGGCAAGGCCCACCCUUAGCCUUCACCUGUCCCCCUGGAUGUGUCAUAGGGCCUAACACGUGUUGAAGAAAUGUAACCUCCAUGAGGACAGGGAUUCUGUGUUUUUGAUCACCACUGUAAAUCCGUCUUGGGAUUAUAGCCCCAAGGUAGGCACAUGAUGGAGGUUUGAGAAAUAUUUCCUAAAUGAAUGAAUGAAUGGGUGGAUGAGCAUCUGUCUACACAGACAGACCACAUACUUAAAUCCUCAAAAAUAGAGAUCACAUAAUAAGAUUUUUUUUUUUUGGUAUUCUUUCGCACAUGGGACUCCAGCCAUAAGGUGCAUUUACAUAAUGUUAUUAUUGAUGGAUUAAGUGAUUGAAGAGAAUAACUCAGACUCGUAAACUACCUUUCCUCCAAGGAGAAGCUAAGACCCUUUAGCCUAGAGGUUGUAACAUGGUGGCUUAAGACAUUCUUCAUUUAAGAGCCUUUGUGUAGGUCCUGCCAGAGUCCAUUUCUCCUCACUCCCCAUCGGCUUACACCUGGCCCCCUUCUCUCUGUGGCGGUACCCACCUGGUCCCAGAAACUGUAUGCAUCUUUAGAAACCAGUGUCCCCUCUUUCCAGAUGGGAAAAUGCAAGAAUGGAGGGCUUAAGCAGCUUGUUCAAAUACAAUACUCUUCCAAGAACACUACGGGUCCGGCUACAGGCCAACAUCUCCCGGUUCCUAGUCAGAUUUGUUUCUGCUGCACCACAACGGGAACGCCAAACAUCUCCUAAGAUGGUAGUAAACUCGACUUCCACAGACCAGCUUCACCACCCACACCCUAAAAGGCAUGUAGAUUCCUGGGACCUGGUCAACUCCAAGAACCCGGGGACAGCCUUUCCCAAAGGGGAGAGGUCUUUGUAGGACUUACGGCACUGUCCCCAGAUGGGCCCCUACUGUCUGCCUGGGUGUAAUCAUGGAGGAUAUGGGGCUGACUCAACACACCCAUAUAUCAAAGUCAACCGUCUUGUGGGGUCCAGGGAACUUUGUAUCAUUGCCUUCAGGGCAGCCCAAGGCUUUGGGAGUAAACAUCCUGACCCAGCCUGACCAAAUCAUGUACUUCCCCAACCCGAUUCCCAGGUAGCACCUGCCCUGGAGCUCCAAUCCCAGCCAUGUGUUUGACCUGAACAGAGAAAGUCACAUCCCACCUUCUCCCCGGGGCUCUCUCAUUUGUACGGGGCAUCAGUGUUCUUGCCUACAUUGGCCAGCUUUCUGACUGUUUUCUCGAGAAGCACUCAGUACCCACACUGACUGCAUUGGCAAGAUGCACAACCACCACAGCUCGACCAGCACCAACCCUCGGAUGUGUGGCCAGGAAGGUAUCGUGAUACUCUGCUCAGACUUCAAUGUAAUUCUAAGAAGGAGAAACUGCAUUCAACGAAGAGUCGGAGGAACUCAGGAGUGUUCAAGUAAAAGGGGAACAAGAAAGGCAACCACUCAGCAAGAGGGGUCGUGAGCUGCUGAAGGGAAACUCUAGGUCAGGUGGUGGUGGGUGGGCUCAGCCUCCUUAGGGCAGAGUGCCUCACUCACAAUGCCCCCGAGAAGGGAUGUUUUGGAGAGGUGCACUUGGCAAUCUGGGAUCUCAAUGUACAAAUAUGUAUGGAGAGCUUUCAGCCCAUCAUGGAAUGUGCUAGGUCCUGUGGAGGUUUUAGAGAGGAAGGCACUGUGAUUCUCUGGCUCAGAGAGCUUACCAGCUAGUAAAGAACACAGGACAGGGUGGCACGUACUUGUAAUCCAUGGCACCGUAUGGGUGUGAUGUGAAAGGUACAGACUAAUUUCAGAAAGGGCACCAAGGAUGCAGGAGCAAGAUUUACUCUAUCAAGUUGAGAUCAUGACCAUUUGGAACUUCAUCAUCUUUUCCAAGAAAACUAGGAAAAAGGAAGUGAGGGACACCCAUGGUGGAGAUGACUCGGUGUAAAAAUGACCUGAUGGGGAUUCGACCCGCAGAGACAUUUAAGAUUUUCUUUUUAGGAACCAAGAGAAAGAAGCGUAGGCAUCCAGGAAGUAAUUAAUAUUGAACCGAGGCAAGGAUUGACCCAGGGCUGGUAACAGGACACCCCCAAAGUGUGCAGAUGAAUAAGUGAGAGGAAAAUAUCAUUAGGGACUAGAGACCUGGCCGGAAGACUCGUGGCUCCCUAAUAUUGUGUAUUUGCAUUAAAAUGUGAGCAGAAAUAACACCAAUUAGAGUUCCAAAGAAUGAGCCAAUAACUGACUUUCUCCCUCUUUCAUUAGCCCUUUAUUCAAGGAGCUCAAAGUAUCUCACAUUUUUAUCUCUGGAUCCCCACAACCCAACUCCAUACUAGGAACAUACUAGGUGUUCAGUUAAGUGUUGAAUUAAGGAAUGGAAGCAUGAACCCCAAGCAAACACAAGAGCAAGAGUAUAAAGGCGGCUCUGGCAGUCGAACUGACAUCCACUCAUAUGCAUUUAACUUUCUGUCAAGAAUAAUGUCUCUGAAUACCAGUUUCCUCAUCAAGACAGAGAUAAUUAUAGAGACCUCCCUGGACUCUGCAAGGAUUAAAUGACCCAGGAAAAUACUUUGUAAGCUUGGAAAGCACCAAAAUAUAUCCCUUUCCAAAUUGAUACUGUGUUUACACAAUGAAGAUGCUUUUUAUUGGGAAACCAGAGAGUCACCUUUAAGCCCUCCUUGUCCUGUUUUGCCCCAUCUGGGAACAGUCCCAUCAAGUCCAUUAUGGGUGGGCAAGCUGCCCUCACCACUAACUCCUAUGCAAGGAAGCAGUCACAAAAAACUUGAUGAGGAGGGUUAACCAGCGAUGUCGGCAGGGCUGUUCUGGGCACACGGAGCCAAGGAGUUUCUUAGUCUGCUACUUGCAAGCAGGAAGUUCCCUUAUCCCCACUCUGGGUUUGCUGAGCCCUAGAAUUAAGGUGUCAGAUGGAGAUGCAGGCUUUGUUCACAUGGAAAAGCUGCUGAUUUAACAACUUUUAUAUCUACGCGCACCCAAGCAUGCACGGCCGACACUUGUCUGCUCUUGACAAGAUAACUGGGCCAUGUGGUGACAAUAUUAAUUAGACAAUUGCUGCUGAAGAAGAAAUUUGCACAGCUCUCCACCUGUUUUCCCUUGAGACUCGGUUCGCCUACAACCAACAGCCAACCGGGUCUGAUGGGUCAAAUGGUACGGUUGUCGUGUUCUCCAGGGUAGCAGUUCCAGAAGAAACACUGGAGCUGCAGAAGACCUGGCAGCCUCCUGGGAUGGAACCCAGCCUCUAGAACCUUCUUCGCAAAGCAUUCACUGUCCAGAAGUUGAACACCAAACCCUAGGCUGGCCACUCGGAAUUCUUCAGCAGUCUUAUUGGGGCAGUAAGUGAGCAACAUGGCAUUAGGCUGGGCAUCCUUGUAGACAUGGGUUCAAACCCAAGGUCUGCCUUGUGCGAGCUGUGUGAUCCUGAACUACAUAAUUUACUCUUCUUUCCAUACCAUGAGAAUAUUAUUUCCUUCCCUAUAGAACUGUGUUGAGAAUUAAAUAAAAUUACGUACGUCUAACUUCUCUCUGCUGGCUAUUUCCCCUUCUCCUUACCCUCCUAAGUGCUAGCUGGGCCAGUCGACGCACUAUCGCUAGAACAGUUACUUUCUCACACACACGCGUGGCUCCACCAUACACCAUCACCUGGACCUGCUCCCCUUUCCCGUCUCCAGAUUAACCUCAUCCCAUAAGCCUCCGCGCAUACCCUCCGUCCUGGCAGCGUCCUCCAGGCUCCCCAGCUGAACAGGACCCCUCCUUUUUCUGAAAUGCCAUGGCCCUAUUACUAGGGAUCUUUCCGAUGCAUGUGACCAAACUCUUGAGGGAGGCAAUUGGUUUGUAUGCCCCUUGGGACUCUGUUUUGGAUGGAGCUGCAGAGCCUAUUACUUCAUGGAACUGAGC